Molecule: long non-coding RNA, 706 nt
Filed under: Anas platyrhynchos platyrhynchos (common mallard)
Lineage: Eukaryota; Metazoa; Chordata; Aves; Anseriformes; Anatidae
Description: lncRNA (ENSAPLG00000018851.1)
Source: RNAcentral
GUACCCUCAAGGGGAAGAGAAGGUCUCUGGAUCUGAUGACAGGCACUGCAGUUAUUCCAACACCUGUGACAGGCCCUGCGACUGAGCCAUGGAACCCACUUGUGCCAGUAUCAGUCACCCCUACACAAAGCACAAGCCCUCACCCUCUGAAGGUGAUUCCUGUCAGGCAUGAAGUAAAGGUAUACCUUCAAAAAAGAAUAGUCAUUCAAAAAAAAUAAAAUAAAAUGGCAGGGGACUGUGUUUUCUGUCCUCAGUGUUGCUAAGAAGCAAAACUCCCUCACAAGAGCACCUGGUGACUGGGGGAGACCAGGCACAGCAGCUAGUGGAAGAGGAAGGGCAGCUCUUGUGGCAGCACGGCAAGGUUUUGCGUCUGGGUGGGAUCCAGGGCAGAGCAGGGGAGCUAUCGCAAACAGUGAGAUUCAACCACAGGAGUUGGAUGGUGCAAGCUGCCAUAGCAGGUGCCACAUUGAGAACACCAAUUCUUGCAUGAAUAUAACUUCAUCCCGCAGAAGCCAAUGCACAAGCCAGUGACUGCUCUAACAAGAACAGGUUUAGAUGUAAGCCUCUGGAUGACCAAACUACCUACCAUAGUCUCUGUAAGUCACUCAGCUGGACUUCUGAAGAAGGAUUUUCAGUUCAACAGUCAAAAGCCACUGACAUCUGCAGAUGUGUGGGUAUUACUAGCAUCAUGCAAAAUGAGAUGGGC